AAUUUUGGACAAUGGGCGCAAGCCUGAUCCAGCCAUUCCGCGUGAGUGAAGAAGGCCUUCGGGUUGUAAAGCUCUUUCGCAAGGGAAGAAAACUCAUCCGCUAAUACCGGGUGAGGCUGACGGUACCUUGAUAAGAAGCACCGGCUAACUACGUGCCAGCAGCCGCGGUAAUACGUAGGGUGCGAGCGUUAAUCGGAAUUACUGGGCGUAAAGCGUGCGCAGGCGGUCUUGCAAGUCAGAUGUGAAAGCCCCGGGCUCAACCUGGGAACUGCGUUUGAAACUACAAGGCUAGAGUACGGGAGAGGGAGGUAGAAUUCCACGUGUAGCAGUGAAAUGCGUAGAGAUGUGGAGGAAUACCAAUGGCGAAGGCAGCCUCCUGGCUUGAUACUGACGCUCAUGCACGAAAGCGUGGGGAGCAAACAG
Molecule: ribosomal RNA, 423 nt
Filed under: uncultured bacterium
Lineage: Bacteria
Description: bacterial SSU rRNA
Rfam family: Bacterial small subunit ribosomal RNA
Source: RNAcentral